AUAGACAAGUUAGUAUAAUACAAGGUAAGUAGACAAAAAAAAUUAACAAAAGCACUACCACUAGUCGUCACUGCGAUUUUCGAGGUUUUCUCUCGAUUACUCUGGUAUUCCAUCAUCAGACCCUGGUUUUCUUAUCAUGGUACCAUAUUUGAAAUAUCUCCUUUCCAAGAAAAAAAAAAGAAAU
Long non-coding RNA from Melitaea cinxia (Glanville fritillary), 184 nucleotides. RefSeq lists it as uncharacterized. The record is from RefSeq and is a predicted model, not a curated record. The transcript is spliced from 3 exons. NCBI's taxonomy places the organism in Eukaryota, Metazoa, Arthropoda, Insecta, Lepidoptera, Nymphalidae.